UUAUGUCAAUUCAAUAUUAAUUUAAAUAUAUGCUUAUUUAUUACCGUUUAAUUUCAUUGACUUCUGGUUGUUGCAUUUAAUUCACAGUUCUUAAACAUGGUAUUUUUAUCGGAGAAGGAAUGAAUAUCGUCGGAGAUUACGGCCCAGGGUAAACGACGUUAGGGUUCAACAACCUGCUCAUGAAGAACCUGCACCCGAAGAUGAACCCGUCCCUGAGGAAGUUGUCCAAGUGGUCAACAGAGGUAGACGUGGAAAUAGAAGGCGUGCUGCGCCAGAGCAUUAGCAAGCAGAUCAACCUGUGGAGCCCAAUAAUCAGCCUCCACCUCAGAAACAGCUGAAAACUACAGCAGUUCAGGCUGGACCGGGCAUUUUUGUGGUUUGGAUUAUUGGAUCCUCCUUGGUUGCCAAAGCCUCAUCACAUAGUCAAAUAAGACCUUUGGGAAAUGAUUUGGGGUUGCAUAAGUUAGGCUACAAGUUGAUGUGGGCAGGAAUGUCCGGUAUGUCAGUAUAUAACGUUGUACCAAUAGUAGAGAAUUUGAUACAUUGUUGCGGUUCACCAGAUGCUGUUUUGCUUCACUGUGGUGGCAAUGAUAUUGGACUUGUUAACUGUGCAAAACUUUUAUUUGAUAUUACAUUUAUGCUAGAUAUAGUUGCACGUAUGGUGAAUGGAGGUAAAAUUAUUUUUUCAAGCAUUUUACCAAGGUUGAAAUGGAGAUAUUCAAAAGAUUUGAAAGCAAUGGAUGUAACCAGGAAACGUAUAAAUAGGGGAGUUAAAUCACAUUUAAAUAAAACUGGGGGUUACACUAUAACUCAUUCUGAUUUUGAAGACAAACAUCAAUCUUUAUUUAGUCAUGAUGGCGUCCAUUUGUCGUUUAUUGGCAAUGAUAUAUUUUUGAAUUCAUUUCAAACUGCUUUAGAACAAUUUUACUAUAUACCAAAUAAUUCUGUUUAUCCGAUGCAUGAAUGAUGUUGUUUGUUUAUUUUUGUUGUAUGUUGAAAAAAAUAACAACUAGUUGAUUAUAUUUUCAUUGAAUUUAUGCUGCUUAUUCAAUUGUCAUGGCGGAUUAGCAUUUGAUUGAGAGUUCACUAAAAUGCCA
Long non-coding RNA from Mytilus californianus (California mussel), 1097 nucleotides. RefSeq lists it as uncharacterized. The record is from RefSeq and is a predicted model, not a curated record. The transcript has 3 exons. Lineage: Eukaryota; Metazoa; Mollusca; Bivalvia; Mytilida; Mytilidae.